UGGGGAAUCUUGCGCAAUGGGCGAAAGCCUGACGCAGCAACGCCGCGUGCGGGAUGAAGGCUCUCGGGUUGUAAACCGCUUUCAGGAGGGACGAAAAUGACGGUACCUCCAGAAGAAGCCCCGGCCAACUACGUGCCAGCAGCCGCGGUAACACGUAGGGGGCGAGCGUUGUCCGGAUUUAUUGGGCGUAAAGAGCUCGUAGGCGGUUUGGCAAGUCGGGUGUGAAAUUUCGAGGCUCAACCUCGAAACGCCACUCGAUACUGCCAUGACUGGAGUCCGGUAGAGGAGUGCGGAAUUCCUGGUGUAGCGGUGAAAUGCGCAGAUAUCAGGAGGAACACCAACGGCGAAGGCAGCACUCUGGGCCGGUACUGACGCUGAGGAGCGAAAGCGUGGGGAGCAAACAG
Molecule: ribosomal RNA, 404 nt
Filed under: uncultured bacterium
Lineage: Bacteria
Description: bacterial SSU rRNA
Rfam family: Bacterial small subunit ribosomal RNA
Source: RNAcentral